Molecule: unclassified non-coding RNA, 333 nt
Filed under: soil metagenome
Description: partial contains 5.8S ribosomal RNA, internal transcribed spacer 2, and large subunit ribosomal RNA
Rfam family: 5.8S ribosomal RNA (bases 1-120)
Source: RNAcentral
GAUGAAGAACGUAGCGAAAUGCGAUAAGUAAUGUGAAUUGCAGAAUUCAGUGAAUCAUCGAAUCUUUGAACGCACAUUGCGCCCGCCAGUAUUCUGGCGGGCAUGCCUGUUCGAGCGUCAUUUCAACCAUCAAGCCCCAGGCUUGUGUUGGAGCCCUGCGGCUGCCGCAGCCUCCCAAAACCAGUGGCGGGCUCGCUAUCACACCGAGUGCAGUAGUUUACUCUUCGCUCAGGGCGUGUGGCGGGUGCUAGCCGUAAAACCCCCAACUUCUCAAGGUUGACCUCGGAUCAGGUAGGAAUACCCGCUGAACUUAAGCAUACAAUAAGCGGAGGA